UUUUUGGUUCUUGUGACUCUUCUUUUCUGUAUGCAGAUAGUUGUUAAAAUUUGAUGUUCCUGCAGGGGGAACAAAUAGUAUAUAGGCUUCUAUUUUGCUGUCUUGGUCUACCCCACCUGCACAAUUUCUGUCCUGAACAUUAGUAUUGCUAUGCAUUUUGGGCCCUGUGCAGAAAUUUUGGAAAGCAAGCCUUAUUCCUGGUAAAUUGGAAAAUAUUAAUCAAUUUUUAUUUCUCCUAUUCCAAGGGGGAUAUCUGAGGGAAAAGAAGGGCAUUGGUAGGGAUUUUCUUUUUCUCUGAAUUUUUCUAUGUCCUUUUCUAGGUAUUUUCUGUGUUCUUUUCACAAUCUCAUGAAGAAAUAUCAGCUCACCUGACUAAGGACCCUUGUUGAAAAUAACUAAUCUUCAGAGUCUCAUUUUGUCACCCCAGCUGGAGUGCAGUAACACAAACACAACUCACUGCAGCCUUGACCUCCUGGGCUCAAGCAAUCCUUCUGCCUCAGCCUCCCAAGUAGCUGGGACUACAGGAUUGAAAGAGAAAACUGGAAAGAUUGAUGGACUUAUGCUAACACAAUCAAGCCUAAAAACCAGAACAGUUGUGACAAGGUUGAAGUUCAUUCAUCAGAAGUGUAUGAGAUGGAAGUAUUCACCUCUAUAAUUAUUUUGCUCACCUUAAUAAUGAUGACUGACCAAUUAGGCUGGUCAUUGACAUUCAUUAUAAAGAUGGCCAUAACAGAUGUUAUCAGCUCCACUGAAGUAAUUUAAAGAAAAAACAGCAUAGGACUGUAAGUUAGGAUGCCUAGGUUUAGUCUUCUGCCAAAGAGAAGGCAUGUGAUUUAAGGUUAAUCACUCAGCCUUUCUGAGCCCAUUUCCACUUCUGUGAAAUUAUGGUUUGGAGUAAAUGACUUUCAUAUUUCUUA
Gorilla gorilla gorilla (western lowland gorilla) is the source of this 917-nucleotide long non-coding RNA. RefSeq lists it as uncharacterized. The transcript has 3 exons. Lineage: Eukaryota; Metazoa; Chordata; Mammalia; Primates; Hominidae. The record is from RefSeq and is a predicted model, not a curated record.